CACGUAGGGGGCAAGCGUUGUCCGGAUUUAUUGGGCGUAAAGAGCUCGUAGGUGGUUCGGUAAGUCGGAUGUGAAAUCUCCAGGCUCAACCUGGAGGGGUCAUUCGAUACUGCCGUGACUAGAGGUCGGUAGGGGAGUGUGGAAUUCCUGGUGGAGCGGUGAAAUGCGCAGAUAUCAGGAGGAACACCCGUAGCGAAGGCGGCACUCUGGGCCGAUACUGACACUGAGGAGCGAAAGCGUGGGGAGCGAACAGG
RNAcentral lists this ribosomal RNA (254 nucleotides) under uncultured bacterium. Its description in RNAcentral is "partial 16S ribosomal RNA". It matches the Rfam family "Bacterial small subunit ribosomal RNA", at positions 524 to 776 of the family's 1533-position model. The record is from RNAcentral.